UACGUAGGGGGCAAGCGUUGUCCGGAUUUAUUGGGCGUAAAGAGCGUGUAGGCGGCCAUACAGGUCCGUUGUGAAAACUCGAGGCUUAACCUCGAGACGUCGAUGGAAACCGUAUGGCUAGAGUCCGGAAGAGGAGAGUGGAAUUCCUGGUGUAGCGGUGAAAUGCGUAGAGAUCAUGAGGAAGACCAGUGGCGAAGGCGGGUCUCUGGACAGUUCCUGACACUGAGACACGAAGGCCAGGGGAGCAAACGGG
This 253-nucleotide ribosomal RNA is filed under the name uncultured bacterium. Its description in RNAcentral is "partial 16S ribosomal RNA". It matches the Rfam family "Bacterial small subunit ribosomal RNA", at positions 524 to 776 of the family's 1533-position model. The record is from RNAcentral.